This 1281-nucleotide small RNA is filed under the name Histoplasma ohiense. RNAcentral's name for it is "hypothetical lncRNA". The record is from RNAcentral. Lineage: Eukaryota; Fungi; Ascomycota; Eurotiomycetes; Onygenales; Ajellomycetaceae.
GACCACGCUGGCAUGAUAACUACGACUCGCGUCGUAGGCGGAAUUAUCACGCCCCCAGGAGCGUAUGCUCCCUUCGGUUUAGACAUGCUACCAGAUGUAGUUCAAAGGUUGCUUAAGCUGUUCAAAGCUUCUAAGCUUUGCAGCUCUUCUUAUACGAAAUAACUAGUGCAGUAGCGUACGCCAUCCUUAAUAAUAGGGGGUGGCGUACGCCACGGAAGAAUAAUAAGCCGAAAUUACCACAAGCAAGCUGAAGAAAGUUCACAAAUGAGCAGAAGCUUCAAUAAUCAGUACUCAGCAAAAUUAUAAGAAUCAAGCAAACAUCAGAAGAAGUUCUGCAAUUCAAUAUCAUAUAGAAGACAAAGUCUGACUGAAUCUCAAGAACAUAAGAACAGAUCAUCUCUUGUGUAUGCUAGAUUAUCAUCACACUAAGUAUACAGUGAAGAAAGUGCUAGACACACAUGAUUAUCAACUCAACACCUCAUCUGAUAUUCAUAACAUCUUUCAUACAAACCUGCUCCAACCCACAGCUGAGGAUUCAUUCCCCUCACAGAGAACCUUCAAUUGACAGCCACUCAUCAUUGUAGAAGAAGACAAUGAACUUGAGUGGGAAAUCAAAGCAAUUCUUGACAAUAGAAUCAACCACUGCUGCCAUGAAUAUCUCAUCAAAUGAGUAGAAUACAAUCAUCCAAUCUGGGAAUCUGUGUCUGCCUUGAAGGACACUGCCGCCCUCAACAUCUACAAGUCCUCACUCAUUCUGAUAGGGGAGGAUAAUGUGAUGAGUUAGCAUCUGUUAGUAAUUAACUUAUGCAACCAACUUCUCUUCUGCAUCUGCUUGUUUCUGGCUGUUGUGAUCUCAUGUAACUCUUGAUGUUCUUUCACUUCAUGCUCUGCAUUUGUGUAGUUUCUAAUGAUUCUUCUGUGUAGCUCUUAAUGUUCUUCCACUCCAUGCUCUGCACUUGCAUAGUCUCUAACAAUUCUUCCACAUAGCUUCUUAUGUUCCUCUACUCUGUGUUCCAUGCUUGCAUAGUCUCUAACAAUUCUUCCACAUAGCUCUCAAUGAUUCCUCUGCUCCAUGUUCCAUGCUUGCAUAACUUCUAACAAUUCUUACACAUAUCUCUUAAUGUUCUUUCACUCUGUGCUUCACUGUGGAGCAGCUUCUGAUAUUCUUCCAUUCUGAACUUUUCUCUAUAAGAACCCUCUUCAUACAAUCUUUUCUUCUGAUUUCCUUUCUCUUUCUUUCCUUAAUCAAUUCAUAAUCUGUAAUUAGGAUAGUACCAAAUC